RNAcentral lists this ribosomal RNA (484 nucleotides) under uncultured bacterium. RNAcentral describes it as "partial 16S ribosomal RNA". It matches the Rfam family "Bacterial small subunit ribosomal RNA", at positions 30 to 507 of the family's 1533-position model. The record is from RNAcentral.
AUUGAACGCUGGCGGCAGGCCUAACACAUGCAAGUCGAGCGGAUGAAGGGAGCUUGCUCCUGGAUUCAGCGGCGGACGGGUGAGUAAUGCCUAGGAAUCUGCCUGGUAGUGGGGGAUAACGUCCGGAAACGGGCGCUAAUACCGCAUACGUCCUGAGGGAGAAAGUGGGGGAUCUUCGGACCUCACGCUAUCAGAUGAGCCUAGGUCGGAUUAGCUAGUUGGUAGGGUAAAGGCCUACCAAGGCGACGAUCCGUAACUGGUCUGAGAGGAUGAUCAGUCACACUGGAACUGAGACACGGACCAGACUCCUACGGGAGGCAGCAGUGGGGAAUAUUGGACAAUGGGCGAAAGCCUGAUCCAGCCAUGCCGCGUGUGUGAAGAAGGUCUUCGGAUUGUAAAGCACUUUAAGUUGGGAGGAAGGGCAGUAAGUUAAUACCUUGCUGUUUUGACGUUACCAACAGAAUAAGCACCGGCUAACUUCGUG